RNAcentral lists this ribosomal RNA (767 nucleotides) under Pseudomonas aeruginosa. RNAcentral describes it as "bacterial SSU rRNA". It matches the Rfam family "Bacterial small subunit ribosomal RNA", at positions 79 to 842 of the family's 1533-position model. Lineage: Bacteria; Pseudomonadati; Pseudomonadota; Gammaproteobacteria; Pseudomonadales; Pseudomonadaceae. The record is from RNAcentral.
CUUGCUCCUGGAUUCAGCGGCGGACGGGUGAGUUAUGCCUAGGAAUCUGCCUGGUAGUGGGGGAUAACGUCCGGAAACGGGCGCUAAUACCGCAUACGUCCUGAGGGAGAAAGUGGGGGAUCUUCGGACCUCACGCUAUCAGAUGAGCCUAGGUCGGAUUAGCUAGUUGGUGGGGUAAAGGCCUACCAAGGCGACGAUCCGUAACUGGUCUGAGAGGAUGAUCAGUCACACUGGAACUGAGACACGGUCCAGACUCCUACGGGAGGCAGCAGUGGGGAAUAUUGGACAAUGGGCGAAAGCCUGAUCCAGCCAUGCCGCGUGUGUGAAGAAGGUCUUCGGAUUGUAAAGCACUUUAAGUUGGGAGGAAGGGCAGUAAGUUAAUACCUUGCUGUUUUGUCGUUACCAACAGAAUAAGCACCGGCUAACUUCGUGCCAGCAGCCGCGGUAAUACGAAGGGUGCAAGCGUUAAUCGGAAUUACUGGGCGUAAAGCGCGCGUAGGUGGUUCAGCAAGUUGGAUGUGAAAUCCCCGGGCUCAACCUGGGAACUGCAUCCAAAACUACUGAGCUAGAGUACGGUAGAGGGUGGUGAAAUUUCCUGUGUAGCGGUGAAAUGCGUAGAUAUAGGAAGGAACACCAGUGGCGAAGGCGACCACCUGGACUGAUACUGACCCUGAGGUGCGAAAGCGUGGGGAGCAACCAGGAUUAGAUACCCUGGUAGUCCACGCCGUAAACGUGGUCGACUAGCCGUUGGGAUCCUUGAGAUCUUA